UUUUAAUGAUGAAAAAAAUUGACAACACCCUUGGAUGAUGUGUCCAACCCGAGUUUGAAUCCAAGUUAUACCGUAAAAGUGUUUGUUCUUAUAUUGGAUGGGCAAUAGCAUUACAAAAUCACCUCUCCAAAUGUAAUUGUAAAGAUCUGAAUCCUUUCUCCCAGGACGAAAUCCCUUAGGUAAAACACCCCGAGGCUAAGAGGAGUGAGACAAUUAGCCCAACCGCCAGCUAAUCGUCGGGAACACCACCCCGCCGAGCAGUUUGCAUUUUAGGCGGAAUAAAUGGGUCGGCAUCUUGGUGCUUCACUAUUGCCCAUUUCAAAAAAUGGACCGUUAAAAAAGACUCCUAAUUUAAUUUUUUUUUCUUUUUAACUUUAUUCCUUAUUUAAACAACUUUUUACAUUUCAAAUCACAUUUUCUUCUUCUAUUUCUACUCUCUUCUUCCACUACUUCUAUACUUUUUAUACAUAAUUUAUCCCAACAACAAUCCGAGAAAACCUUUCAACACGCCGGGAUACCGUCCACGCCCAAACACUACAAAUCAACCGGAUUUUAACGAUUCAGACUUACUAAACAAUCCACAUGUAUUCCAAUUGCUUCAACAAAUCAACAUUAACCAACAAAUGGGGACACAACAAAUGGGUUUCGCUAAUUGGAACGCGCCACAAGAAACAUACGACUUUGGUUCCACAAAACACAUAGGGGCAACACUUUGAUCGCCAAUGUCUUAUUGAUACGCCACCACAAAGUCGUCCACUGGUGUUGAAGUCGUCUAAGAAACACAACCCAAAGUCGGCAGUUCAGCAAAAAGAAAAGGAAAUCGGCAACACAAAACGAAACACGCCGAUAAACCACAUAAAACUUUCUAUUGCAUGGACAUCGGAGGAUGAAAAGAGUUUAGCCAAAGUUUGGCUCGAAGUUACCGAAGACCAGACAGAAGCAAUUUUUAAAAAGGAAUAGACGUAUUGGGUAAGAAUUUGUGAGAAGUUGCUCGCACUCGAAGCCAAGGAGGUUGGUUAUGGUGAUGACCACAGGUUGGAACCAAAAUGGAGGAGAAUGCGUCCAAACAUUCAAAACUUUAACCAAAUUUAUACUCGUUGUACCUUUGCAAACAACCAUCAUAGCGGUGAGAGUGAUGCCGACGUGGUGAAAAGUGCCAUUGCCGAGUACUAUGGAAUUUAUGGAAAAACUUUUGAUGUCAACAAAACUCGUGGUCAACCAAGUGCGAAAAGAUUGAAAACCUCAUCCAUUAACGAUCCAAUUAGCCAAGUGUUCCAAGAGUGUGUUGGUGGUAGAGAUGCGGCUAGGAAAGCUUCGGGAGGGAAACCAAAAGGAAAGGCUAGGUACCAACAAAACAUUUGGCCAUUUGUCGGUGAAGUUGGACGAUUUGAUGGACAUUAGCAAAGAACACUUUGGUAUGGGAAAGGAGAAAAUCAGUUGGCUAAAAUGAAGCUAAAGGCGAAGGUAAGUACGAUCAAGCUCGCCGAGUUGAGAGGGUUGACCACUAACUAUAGUCACCUUGAUGAACCCGAACGAUCCAUCAUGUUAAUUGACGUAACAAAAAUCAAGGAAAAUAUGGAUAUCAUUAAUUUUAUUUAUGUUAUUGUGUUAUCUUUUUUUAAGUUUGUAGUCUUGUUUUAUAAAUGAUGGAACACUUUAUUAAUCUACUAAUGCUUUUUAGUUUAA
Erigeron canadensis is the source of this 1686-nucleotide long non-coding RNA. RefSeq lists it as uncharacterized. The transcript has 3 exons. The record is from RefSeq and is a predicted model, not a curated record. Lineage: Eukaryota; Viridiplantae; Streptophyta; Magnoliopsida; Asterales; Asteraceae.